Molecule: ribosomal RNA, 499 nt
Filed under: uncultured Inocybe
Lineage: Eukaryota; Fungi; Basidiomycota; Agaricomycetes; Agaricales; Cortinariaceae
Description: eukaryotic LSU rRNA
Rfam family: 5.8S ribosomal RNA (bases 141-294)
Source: RNAcentral
UUUUUUUCGAGUUGGGAUUGCUGUGCCUCAUUUUUGAAGUCGGCUUUUCCUUUGCCAGGUCUAUGUCAUUUCACAACCUCUUGAAAUGCAUCUAGAAUGUUGAAUCAGGUCCAAUUUUGUACCUAUAAAGUUAAAUAUACAACUUUCAGCAACGGAUCUCUUGGCUCUCGCAUCGAUGAAGAACGCAGCGAAAUGCGAUAAGUAAUGUGAAUUGCAGAAUUCAGUGAAUCAUCGAAUCUUUGAACGCACCUUGCGCUCCUUGGUAUUCCGAGGAGCAUGCCUGUUUGAGUGUCAUUUAAAGUUCUCAACCACAUUCUCAUCAAUGGGAUGUGGCUUGGAUGUGGGGGUCGUUUUGCAGGCUUCUCUGAAGUCUGCUCCCCUGAAAUGCAUUAGUGGUAUCUGAGCUACUACAGAUGUGAUAAUUAUCUACAUCAAAGUAUGCUGCACACCGCUUCCCUAACGAGUUUUGAAAUCUGAUGAAUUUGACCUCAAAUCAGGU